AUUGAACGCUGGCGGAAUGCUUUACACAUGCAAGUCGAACGGCAGCACGGGGCAACCUGGUGGCGAGUGGCGAACGGGUGAGUAAUAUAUCGGAACGUGCCCAAUCGUGGGGGAGUAACGUAGCGAAAGUUACGCUAAUACCGCAUACGAUCUACGGAUGAAAGCGGGGGAGUCGCAAGACCUCGCGCGAAUGGAGCGGCCGAUAUCAGAUUAGGUAGUUGGUGGGGUAAAGGCUCACCAAGCCAACGAUCUGUAGCUGGUCUGAGAGGACGACCAGCCACACUGGAACUGAGACACGGUCCAGACUCCUACGGGAGGGCAGCAGUGGGGAA
This 332-nucleotide ribosomal RNA is filed under the name uncultured bacterium. RNAcentral's name for it is "bacterial SSU rRNA". It matches the Rfam family "Bacterial small subunit ribosomal RNA", at positions 30 to 361 of the family's 1533-position model. The record is from RNAcentral.